This 274-nucleotide ribosomal RNA is filed under the name uncultured bacterium. RNAcentral describes it as "partial 16S ribosomal RNA". It matches the Rfam family "Bacterial small subunit ribosomal RNA", at positions 523 to 796 of the family's 1533-position model. The record is from RNAcentral.
AUACGGAGGGUGCAAGCGUUAUUCGGAAUCACUGGGCGUAAAGGACGCGUAGGCGGGUUGGCAAGUCAGAUGUGAAAUCCUACAGCUUAACUGUAGAACUGCAUUUGAAACUGCUAACCUAGAGUAUGGGAGGGGGAGAUGGAAUUUGUGGUGUAGGGGUAAAAUCCGUAGAUAUCACUAGGAAUACCGAAAGCGAAGGCGAUCUCCUGGAACAUAACUGACGCUAAGGCGUGAAAGCGUGGGGAGCAAACAGGAUUAGAUACCCUAGUAGUCC